UACGGAGGGUGCAAGCGUUGUUCGGAAUCAUUGGGCGUAAAGGGCGCGUAGGCGGUCCGGUAAGUCGGGUGUAAAAGCCCCGGGCUCAACCCGGGAAGUGCAUUCGAAACUGCCGGACUUGAGUACGGGAGGGGGAAGUGGAAUUCCUGGUGUAGGGGUGAAAUCCGUAGAUAUCAGGAGGAACACCGGUGGCGAAGGUGACUUCCGGGACCGAUACUGACGCUGAGGCGCGAAAGCGUGGGGAGCAAACAGG
RNAcentral lists this ribosomal RNA (253 nucleotides) under uncultured bacterium. RNAcentral's name for it is "partial 16S ribosomal RNA". It matches the Rfam family "Bacterial small subunit ribosomal RNA", at positions 524 to 776 of the family's 1533-position model. The record is from RNAcentral.